GGAGGGGUGGCCGAGUGGCUGAAGGCGACGGUUUGCUAAACCGUUAUACGGUUUAACGCUGUAUCGAGGGUUCGAAUCCCUCUCCCUCCGCCA
This 93-nucleotide transfer RNA is filed under the name Alphaproteobacteria bacterium. Its description in RNAcentral is "tRNA-Ser". It matches the Rfam family "tRNA". Rfam says of the family: Transfer RNA (tRNA) molecules are approximately 80 nucleotides in length. Lineage: Bacteria; Pseudomonadati; Pseudomonadota; Alphaproteobacteria. The record is from RNAcentral. RNAcentral also lists the same sequence under 1 other name.